AGUCUGACCUGCCCUCUGAUAUAUUAUAUUGAAUGGCCGCGAUACUUUGAUCGUGCAAAGGUAGCAUAAUCAUUAGUUUUUUAAUUGAGAACUGGAAUGAAAGGUCGAACGAGAAAAAGACUGUCUCAAUGUAAUUUAAUUAGAAUUUUAUUUUUAAGUAAGAAAGCUUAAAUUUAUUUAAAAGACGAGAAGACCCUAUAGAGUUUUAUAAUUGUAGAUUUAUUUUUUAGUUUAAGAAUUUUAUUUUAAAAUUAAUUAAUAAUUAUUCGAUUGGGGCGAUUAAAAAAUUUAAUAAACUUUUUUUAUAUAAAAACAUUUAUAUAUGAUUAAUUGAUCCAUAAUUUAUGAUUAGAAGAUUAAAUUACCUUAGGGAUAACAGCGUAAUUUUUUUUGAGAGUUCUUAUCGAAAAAAAAGUUUGCGACCUCGAUGUUGGAUUAAAAUAAACUUUUGGUGUAGAAGCUAAAAUAGUUAGGUCUGUUCGACCUUCAAAAUUUUACAUGAUCUGAGUUUAAACCGGUGUAAGCCAGGUUGGUUUCUAUCUUUAA
RNAcentral lists this ribosomal RNA (546 nucleotides) under Onthophagus sloanei. RNAcentral's name for it is "partial 16S ribosomal RNA". It matches the Rfam family "Bacterial large subunit ribosomal RNA", at positions 1851 to 2647 of the family's 2925-position model. The record is from RNAcentral. Lineage: Eukaryota; Metazoa; Arthropoda; Insecta; Coleoptera; Scarabaeidae.